Molecule: long non-coding RNA, 5144 nt
Organism: Brassica rapa (field mustard)
Lineage: Eukaryota; Viridiplantae; Streptophyta; Magnoliopsida; Brassicales; Brassicaceae
Source: RefSeq, a predicted model, not a curated record
AUCUUAUUUAAGGAAAUAAUGAAGCACAUUAAUAAUGUAUUUAUUGUGGUUUAAUAAAAAAGUUAUUAUAUAUUUAGAUGGACCAACAUAUUUCUCUAAGGAUUCUAAGAAUCAUUCUAGUGAUGAUACGUGGCUACAAAAAAAUGUUGUAAUGCUUCUCAAAUAAUAUAUAGGGGAUACAAACAUGUAUACUUUUGUAGUUUUCAUGCUAAUUAUAAGAUUUUUAAAUGUGAAAUUAAAAAAAAAAACACAAGUUUCAAACGUAUUAGUGUAUUACCAUGUUCCUUUUAACAUAGUACUAUGUGUUUUGACUGCAAUACGGACAUGAUAAUCUCACUAAUAUUUAUCAGUAAAUCUAUUUUUUAAUUCAAAAACUAUUAUUAGAUAUCAAUAAAUAUGAAUAACAUAAAAUAUUAUUUUUCUUAAUUAAAAUUUAUUAUAAUGAUAAUUUUUAGAUGUUUAUAAUUAUUGAAUCCAUUAUAUAUAUUAUUAUUAUUAUUAUUCAGAAUUCUAUUUCUUUUUUUAUUCUAUAUAUAUAUCAAGAAAUUUAUCUUAAAUAUUACUUUUAGAUAAUAACACAAUAUACACGAUUUUUUUAAACAUGUUUUUAUAAACUUGUCUCACAAUUAAUUCAUGGUCAAUUUUUAUAAAAUUUAUAAAGAUUUUUUUUAUUCAUUAAGGGUGACAUAUACUUUAAUAGUUCUAACUUUUAACGUGAAAGUUUAAAACGAAAAAAAUCACUUCGUAAAUAAUAAUAUACACUAAUUAUAUUGUAAUAAAAUUUAGGAUUGAUAAUUAUUAACUUUGACCAUACAAGAUUUAGUAUUUAAGAUUUAUCAUACAAUAUACUCUCACCAUUUUUACUGAUGUCUUAAAGGUUUAUUGUUAUAUAUAAUUUGGUGUUCUAUAUGUUUGAUAUAAAUAUAUAAAUAACAUUUUAAUUUUACUUAUAUAAUAAAAUUCUACAAUUAAUAAUAUUGAAACUAUAUUUUUAUUAAUAUAUAAAUUAUUAAUUUCUAUAAUUUAAAUUUUAAAAUUUUAAAAUUUUGGAAUAUCUUUUAUGUGAAAAUAAGAAUAGUAAAUAAUUUUUAAAGUAUAUAAAUUAAUUAGAAUUUAAAAUAUUUAUUUAUGUUGUUUUCGAAUAUUUGGCAUGCAAAAACUAUGUAUUGUAUAAUGUAGAUGUAUUUUUGGGUGCAAAGUAACAAAUGUUUAGAAAUUUUUAUAAUAGACUUGACUGUAAAUAGAAAAUAAAUUAUACAGUUUUUAUUUUAUAUCUAUAUAAAUGUUACAUAACUGAAUUAAUAAUGUUUAUAUUAGAACUAUACAUAUACAUAAUGUUUUCUAAAUUUCAUUAUCUUAUUAAUUUAUCCAAGCUUUUGUCAAUUGUAAUAUUAUAAACUACAAGAAACAUUACAUAGAUAAUAUUGCAUCCGACAAUUCUACAUACCUCACGAGGAUUCAUAUUUAACUGCAUCAUCUCCGAAGUUGUCGUAUGAGAUCCAUUCAUAACAGUAUUGUUUGUGUCAUGAUGAAGAUCUCUCUGGUAAGUCUUUUGUCUUUGCUGAAAAUCGAAAACUAUAUUUUUCCGUGUAAAAACAUUAUCAAACCACUGGACCAAUGGGGUUUCCACCCUAUUAAUUUAUCCAAUUAUAUCAUAUUUUAGUACUAUCUUAACUUGAACUUUUAGAACUUCUAAGAACUAAGAACAUGUUUAUUGAGGAUUCUUAGAUUGGGGUUUUUAUCAGAAUAUAAGAAAUUGUCUCUAAAAACCCUCCAAUAAACAUGCUCUAAGCUCUAAGAUAGUAUAUAAUCUAGUGAUUCAGGACUGGAAACAGUAUAAACGUUUCCAAUGUGUAAAAUUUAUGUAAUCAACCAAUCAUAAUAUAAGGCUUGUACUUCUGUUUUGUUAUGGCUUUUGUUGGGCUUUUAGUGCAAUUUUAUAAACUUUACUAAAUACUAAGCCCAUUUCCAAGUUGUUUGGCAUCUUUAAAUUAUAACAGUGCUAGAUUCUUUUGUCCUACACACGUACAUCAGCUUUUCUUACACACGUACAUCAGCUAGGUUCGUGUCGCGGAUGACGUCGAUGACGUUAAAGAUGGGUAUCGAGCUUAUUGGUAAAGGGUCGAUGGCCUUUGUUUUCAUGUCAGUGUAUUGACGACAUUAAACACCAACUUUGUAAAUUUCCAUUAUUGUCAAAUAUUCUACAAAAGGAUACAAUGGAUUGUGGAUUAAAAGAAUAUUCCUUUUACAUGGAGUAUCCCACUAUAUAAAAGCAACUAAUUUCAAGCCUUCUUAAGCAUGCCACAUAUGAUAAAAUAUUUAGAACCAAUCAUUUAGUCAUGUCAUUAUGAGUUUCUUAAUGACAAAUUGCUGAGCCUCACAAAACCUUCACACCAAUUCAAUGUAUCAUUCCAGCCAAUAGCAUAUCAUAUUCCUCCCUCUUCGUUAACCCUAACUUCCACAAUUUUUAUACGCUUAAAAUAGUUAAGGCAAAUCACAAUACACCAUUAAAUAAUUCAUACCACCAUCUUUCAAAAUUCUGGCUAGAUAGAUACACUUUCUCCACUGUUCAGAGCCAUUAACACCUUAAUCAGAUCAAAAACCCCAACCUGACGACUCUCUUCAACUUCCCCAUCUCCAUCUAUAUAACCAUUUGGCCACUUACGAAGUUCAAGUAUUCUCCAAAGCUAUAUGAAAAUACCUACCGCAGCUAUGGCUGGACAAACUCCAACUCAACUGCACGAAACCCAGUCGAGGCGUGUUGAAGAAGAGUUAGAGUUUGUAUUAUGAUCAGAGUACGCAAAUUUCUGUCUAGAUCGGCCAUUUAGAUCCCUGCAACUGAAUCGCCACUGCCGAAGAGACGACGUAGCAGAAGAUGAAAGAUGUUUUUUCGUUCGAGAACUUUCGUAUUGAAUCUCUUCAUAAACUCUUGGUAAGCUUAUGUUAAGUUUAAUGUUCUAAAUCUGAUCUGAUUUGAUUCGAUAUUAUACAUCGACGAAAUUAAGCUUCUAAAUUUAGUCAUGAUAAUUGAUACUGUUAUGAAAAAUUCCUUUGAGAUUAGGAAGCAUAAGUAUAUUGAAGCUCCAGAUUGGUAAUGAUUUUUUUAAAAAAAAAAAUUAUUGCUCGAAUGUAUGGUUUGUCUAUGCUCUUUCUUGAUUAAUAGUGUUUGUAUGAUUUUUUGCAGAAAUGACAAAGCAAAUCUGCUCAAAUAUUAGCCACAGACCUGAAUGUUUUUGCGGCUUUCAACUAACUUUACAAAGAGAUCACUCAGCUUCUGACUCUAGAGAAUUUUAGAAGCUGAUCGAGGGAAAUCCUUUGUUUGAUGUGAAGCUUCCCUUUCCCAGUUUCAAGGUUUCCCAGCUCAGAACUUUGAUCAAUCAAAGGUGAAUUUCCUAUAUAUUUCUUCAAACAGAAGGGUCAAGUUUUCAAUGUUAUUUUGUGCGAAAUAUUACAUCUCGAAUUGGCAGAACCAGCUAUGUCAACGAGGCCAGAUCUAGAGUUCAACACAUCAACCAAAUUGACAAAAUUAUCCAUCUCUUUUUUGAUGUAUGCCAUCAAAAUUUAAUCUAAUCUUUAACUCGAGUCCUGAAAUGGCUUUUUGUUGCAGGUUGUACAAAGUCUUGAACAUUCUUGAGUUCAAUAGCACGAGGCAAAUUAUGCCAAUAAUAGUGCAUGAUAAAGAUGGGAAACUCUGACUACUUUUUGAAAAACCAAAUAAGUAAGUGUAACUGGUGAUUUCAUAUAACAAAGUAUACAUAUCUUCCUUUUCAAAUUAUUUUAUGCCACUUCCUUUUCAAAAAAUUUGGAGAAUGCAUGCUUGAUCAUUAGUAUAUUAUAUACAUCUGGGAUUGGUCAUAUAAUACACUGAAAACGUAACUCCAGUUGCUGACUCUUUAUGGGAUGUUAACGCAACGAUAUUGCUAUCUUUAUUACAAACUCAUGUUGGAUGUGAUCUUGACUUCAGGAAUCUUUUCUUUUCCUAGAUUGAUAAUUCUGGCAGCAGAAGCAUGUAAUACAAAGUUUGGAUAUUUAUAGUUAAUUAACUAACUUGUCAUGAUCUGUGUUUGUACCAGUUCAAAGUUGGGUGCACAAGGCAGGAAGCAACUGUGCUUAAUAAUGAUUUACUAUACACAUGAUUUACUAUAUUUACUCUGAAAUUCUAUCUGAAUAAAAUAUUUUCAUAUUUUUUUUUCAUUAAAACAUAUAUAUUUCAUUUUUUCAUUAAAAUAAACAUUUUGAAUAUUUAAGUAAUUUCAAAUUUAUUUAAAAUAAAUUUAUAUUUUAUUUUUCUUUUAAACAAAACUUUUAAAUAUUUAGUUAAUGUCGUAUUUAUUUUAAAAUUAAAUUUAUAUUUCAUUUUAACUAAAACAAAAUUUUAAAAUAUCUAACUAAUUUUGUUAUGGGCAAUUCUCUCAAAUAGAUCUUUUUUAUUUUUAAAAUUUUAAUAUUUUUUAGUUUUUAAAAUUUGAAAUCAUACCCCCAAAACCCCCCCCCCCUUAACUCUGAACCCUAAAUCAUAAACCCUAAAUUUUAAAUCAUAAACCCAAAAAUACACACCUUAAUAAAACUUUUUGGUCAUUUUGAUAUUUGAGGUCUAUAUUUGUGAUAAAAAAAAUUUUAGGUCUAUCCUAGGGAAUUUCUCUUUUGUAAUUACAACUAAAGACAUGUAUAGUUUUGUAUUAAUCUGUGAUUUAAUUUAAUAUAAUAUAAUACUUUUAAAAAAAAAAUUGAUCUUUCACCAGUAAAAUUUUUCAAUUUAGAAUAUUGUAUCACAUGAUUUAAAAUAUGCUUUCACUAAAAAUUUAAAACAAAUAAAAUAAAUUAUUGCAAAUGAACUAUAAAAUUAUUGUAUUUUAAAAUGUUUUAUAAACAAUUAGUAAUAUUGUAAAUGUAGUGGAAAAAUUUGUAAAUUAACAAAUUUGAAUCAUGUAAUCCGCGCGUAGCGCGGAAAACGAAUCUAGUAUUAUUUAAAAGUUAGAGAUAAACUACAACCAGAUAUCUUUUUUUUCUUAUAAUAUUCUAUUUUACAACAAACUGUAAUUCAUUAACAACAAAAUGUAUUUUUUACACCAAAAAAAAAAAACAAAAUGUAUUUUAACAUUUACACCCAAAAAAAACUUUCACUACAUUUUCAUUUUUUUUAA